Molecule: ribosomal RNA, 253 nt
Filed under: uncultured bacterium
Lineage: Bacteria
Description: partial 16S ribosomal RNA
Rfam family: Bacterial small subunit ribosomal RNA
Source: RNAcentral
UACGAAGGGGGCUAGCGUUGCUCGGAAUCACUGGGCGUAAAGCGCACGUAGGCGGAUUGUUAAGUCAGGGGUGAAAUCCUGGAGCUCAACUCCAGAACUGCCUUUGAUACUGGCGAUCUCGAGUCCGGGAGAGGUGAGUGGAACUGCGAGUGUAGAGGUGAAAUUCGUAGAUAUCAGGAAGAACACCAAUGGCGAAGGCAGCUCUCUGGGACGGUACUGACGCUGAGACGCGAAAGCGUGGGGAGCGAACAGG